Molecule: long non-coding RNA, 1032 nt
Filed under: Bos taurus (domestic cattle)
Lineage: Eukaryota; Metazoa; Chordata; Mammalia; Artiodactyla; Bovidae
Description: long non-coding RNA NONBTAT025841
Source: RNAcentral
UGUAUAACUGCCAAAUUGCCAUCCAGAACUUCAGCACUGGCCAAUUUGGAGAUUUAUAUCCUCCUGGUGCUAUAUAUUAGGGAAAAGUCUGUGCUUGACCUCAUCGAGUAGACUGGCAGAGAAGAGAGGUGAUCUAAUGAAACUUGGAAGAUCAAUCUUAAAACCCUCUCUCAGAGAAACCUUAACCUGACUUCCCAAUGCUGAGCAGAUCAUGAAAUCUACAGGGCGCAGCUGCAGUAUUAAACCGUGGAAAUGUUCGCCUCACCUCACAUUGGCUCAGCAUAGUGGGAAUGCAGGGUGGCCAGAAGGCAAAGGUCUGAGGAAGGGCGGAGUUCUGAAAAUCACUCUAUAAAUCCUGUUUCUAGGGUGUGCUCAGAAUGUCCGUUUUAGUACAAACCACUACCACAAUCACAUACAUCAACCGGAAUCUACUGUAUUUCAUGUAAUAAUCUGUGGAAUAUGAAAAGAGAUAUAGAAGAAAUAAUUGAGACAUUUGCGUGUGUACAGUUCCGAUUCUUGCCUGAGCAUCCUUCUGCAGAAGGAGCUGGACCGUUUUAGCAUGUCAUAAGGACAGGCAGACUUCUAAUUCAAGGCUCUCAAGACCCGUCAGGUCUGCAGCAACCUCAAAGCUUCCUGUCAAUGUUGUUAAUGGCAAAUCUAAGCAUGUGAGUGUUUUCGGUCAGGGUGCUCCUAAUAGCAUCGUGAUUGUCAAGUGAUUGAGGACAAUCAUAGGGAGAAGACAGAAAUGGUCUAUUAGGACUUCGUGGCCAUCUUGCCCCCUCCCCACAGAGCUGCUUCUUUCUACAGGCACAAUAGGGCGGUGACCUACAGGAGAUUUACUGUAGCUUUUCGUAGUCCUAUUUUCAGCCACUACAAGUUAUGAAAAUCUAACGCUGGGGGGAGGAAUGGGAAAUAUGCCCUAAUGCUAUAAAUACAUACCCUACUGCUAGAUAUUUUCAAAGAACUAUUUGCUAGAGCCUAUUACUUAUGCUCUAGAUGGCACUUCUCUUAUAUUUAACAAAAGCAAAAAUG